GUCGAGAAUCUUUUGCAAUGGGCGAAAGCCUGACAAAGCAACGCCGCGUGAGUGAUGAAGGUCUUCGGAUUGUAAAACUCUGUCGUUUGGGACGAAACAGCUUGAUGCUAAUAACAUCAGGCCUUGACGGUACCAAAGGAGGAAGCCCCGGCUAACUUCGUGCCAGCAGCCGCGGUAAUACGAAGGGGGCAAGCGUUGUUCGGAUUUAUUGGGCGUAAAGGGUGCGUAGGUGGUUGUACAAGUCGGAUGUGAAAUCCCCUGGCUUAACCAGGGAUCUGCAUUCGAAACUGUACGGCUUGAGUACAGAGGGGGUGAGUGGAAUUCUCAGUGUAGCGGUGAAAUGCGUAGAUAUUGAGAAGAACACCUGUGGCGAAAGCGGCUCACUACUCUGCUACUGACACUGAGGCACGAAGGUUAGGGGAGCAAACGGGAUUAGAAACCCCAGUAGUCC
RNAcentral lists this ribosomal RNA (451 nucleotides) under uncultured bacterium. RNAcentral describes it as "bacterial SSU rRNA". It matches the Rfam family "Bacterial small subunit ribosomal RNA", at positions 354 to 796 of the family's 1533-position model. The record is from RNAcentral.